RNAcentral lists this ribosomal RNA (744 nucleotides) under Triticum aestivum (bread wheat). Its description in RNAcentral is "partial small subunit ribosomal RNA". The record is from RNAcentral. Lineage: Eukaryota; Viridiplantae; Streptophyta; Magnoliopsida; Poales; Poaceae.
AUGACACAGUUUGGCUUAUUUCAAGAGACCCCGCCGAAGUACAAGGACACUUUGCUACAUUUGCAUAGUCUUGACAAGAUGAAGCAGAAGAGUAUAAAAAAAUGGGAUCGAGAGCAUGACAUGUAUAUCCAGGAGUUCAAGCACAAGCUCAAUAAGAUUGAGCUUUCAUUGCGUCAACCGACUUCUAAGCCUCCCCGACGGCCUUUUGAUACGGAAGCAUUCAACAAUUAUCUUGUGUGGUUUCGUUCCAUUGCCCGUACUCAACUUAACGCACCCACAUUUCAGCCAGGGGACAUAUUACAUGAACCCAAUCCAGGUUUUGAUCGGAUGGCCAAUAUGGAGUACAACAGGCUUAUUAGAGAUGGUAGACGGUAUGAAUCGGCGCCAACUAACCGCUUUGUGCAAAACGAGCUCUCGAAGCAUGUCAACGACGCCGAUGAGGCACUCAAGUACCCUCCAGGUGAAGAGUCGUACAAUAAGCUUAAAGCUUUUGUUGAGCGGAGCAAGUCUUGGGCACGUGGCCUUGGUGCUCUACUAGGCUGCUGUUCCACCGAUGUCGCUGUCCCUACAACUUCGAGGUCAAGAUCAUCAUCAAGCGGCACCCAGCAGCAAGGCGAAGAAUCAGUUGAUGACAUGGAGGAGGAGGGGGAUGAACAGACGCAUGAUGAGAUUAACACCUGCAGAUGCCCGAUGCGCCUUAGCCUAGUCAAAGGCGUGGAAAGUAUACUCCGGGCAAAUAAGUAA